UACGUAGGUGGCAAGCGUUGUCCGGAUUUACUGGGUGUAAAGGGCGUGUAGCCGGGCUGACAAGUCAGAUGUGAAAUCCGGGGGCUCAACCCCCGAACUGCAUUUGAAACUGUUGGUCUUGAGUAUCGGAGAGGCAGGCGGAAUUCCUAGUGUAGCGGUGAAAUGCGUGGAUAUUAGGAGGAACACCAGUGGCGAAGGCGGCCUGCUGGACGACAACUGACGGUGAGGCGCGAAAGCGUGGGGAGCAAACAGG
RNAcentral lists this ribosomal RNA (253 nucleotides) under uncultured bacterium. RNAcentral describes it as "partial 16S ribosomal RNA". It matches the Rfam family "Bacterial small subunit ribosomal RNA", at positions 524 to 776 of the family's 1533-position model. The record is from RNAcentral.